GUCCAGUCUUCCUGUUGAGAAGCAAGUUGCUCACUUUCAUGCUUCUGAAGCAUGUUCACCACCAGUGACCAGAGGAAGAAGUGCAGUGCUUCGUUUGUAAUUCCUUCUGUUAACUGGGCGAUCCAAACGUCCCUGGUGGGCAGGCAGAGCAGAAGAGGUGGAUGAAAAGCUUGGAAGAAUUUCUGUCAGGACUGAAUGUGUUAAAGGCAUAACUGGAAAUCCACAAAAGAAGUUCAAGUGAUGAAGGAAAAUGAGCAAGUGUACAAAUUCACCAAUGACUAUGCCAAAGGAAAUUAAAGCAACUGGAAGUGAGCAGCCCAUUUGAAGAUGAGUAACAAUGAAGUAUAUCUAAAGAAAAUGGAUGUUUUAACAAGUUUUGACAUCCCGAAAAUGAUGGACAUUUUACGUACAGCUGACUGGAGUGGGUAAGGAUGAAGUUAAGAAAAACGUAACCUGAAAUAAUGUGAAUUGUUUUUUUUCCUGUGGUGGUAAUGAUGAUGACGGAAUUUUAAGAAAAGUGUCAACUUUAUAUUAAAAGAAAAAAACCAAAAUUGUGCAGCUUCUAUGGAAAAUAGUAUGUUGAUUUUUUUAAACAUGAAACAUAGACUUAUACAAUCUAGCAAUUCCACGUCUGGGAAUAUACCUAAGAUAAUGGAAAGCAGGGUCUUGAGUAGAUAUUUGUACACUCAUGUUCAUGGCAGUAUUAUUUAAAAUAGCCAAAAGGUGGAUUGAUGGAUAAGUGAAUACACAAAAUGUGGUCUAUACAUAACAUGGAAUAUUAUUCAGCCCGAAAAAGGAAGGAAAUUCUGACAUUCGCUACAACAUAAGUGAACCUUGAGUACAUGAUGCUGUGUGAAAUGAGGCAGUCACCAAAGGACUAAUGCUACAUGAUCCCACUUAUAUGAGGUACUACGGCAGUCAACUUCAUAGAGAAUAAAAGUAGAAUGGUGGCUGCCAGCUGUGGGUAGCGGGGAGAAUGGGAAAGUUAGUGUUCAUUGGGGACAGAGUUACAAUUUGGCAAGAUGAAAAGACUCUUGGAGAUGGGAGGUGGUGAUGGUUGCACAACAAUAUCGAUGUGCUUAAUGCCACUGAACUGCACAGUUAAAAAUGGUUAAGAUGGAACAUUUUAUGUGUAUGUUACUACAAUUAAAAAUAAUUUUAAAAAGAAAAAUAAAAAAACAAAUUGGGCUAGUUUAAAGCUAUUUAAGGUGUGGU
RNAcentral lists this long non-coding RNA (1215 nucleotides) under Homo sapiens (human). RNAcentral describes it as "HSALNT0170028". The record is from RNAcentral. Lineage: Eukaryota; Metazoa; Chordata; Mammalia; Primates; Hominidae.